GACGAACGCUGGCGGCGUGCCUAAUACAUGCAAGUCGAGCGAGCGGAACCAACAGAUUUACUUCGGUAAUGACGUUGGGAAAGCGAGCGGCGGAUGGGUGAGUAACACGUGGGGAACCUGCCCCUAAGUCUGGGAUACCAUUUGGAAACUGGUGCUAAUACCGGAUAAUAAAGCAGAUCGCAUGAUCAGCUUUUGAAAGGCGGCGUAAGCUGUCGCUAAGGGAUGGCCCCGCGGUGCAUUAGCUAGUUGGUGGGGUAAUGGCCUACCAAGGCGGCGACGGGUAGCCGGCCUGAGAGGGUGGACGGCCACAUUGGGACUGAGACACGGCCCAG
RNAcentral lists this ribosomal RNA (332 nucleotides) under uncultured bacterium. RNAcentral's name for it is "bacterial SSU rRNA". It matches the Rfam family "Bacterial small subunit ribosomal RNA", at positions 28 to 334 of the family's 1533-position model. The record is from RNAcentral.